RNAcentral lists this ribosomal RNA (1611 nucleotides) under Clostridioides difficile. RNAcentral describes it as "partial 23S ribosomal RNA". It matches the Rfam family "Bacterial large subunit ribosomal RNA", at positions 662 to 2290 of the family's 2925-position model. The record is from RNAcentral. Lineage: Bacteria; Bacillati; Bacillota; Clostridia; Peptostreptococcales; Peptostreptococcaceae.
GGAGCCGUAGCGAAAGCGAGUUUUAACUGAGCGUUCAGUUACUUGACGUAGACCCGAAACCGGGCGACCUACCCAUGAGCAGGAUGAAGCGAAAGUAAAAUUUCGUGGAGGUCCGAACCCACGAGCGUUGAAAAGCUCGGGGAUGACUUGUGGGUAGCGGUGAAAUUCCAAUCGAGCCCGGAGAUAGCUGGUUCUCCCCGAAAUAGCUUUAGGGCUAGCCUCAAGGUGAGAGAUACGGAGGUAGAGCACUGAAUGUCCUAGGGGGUAUUGCACCUACCGAAGACUAUCAAACUCCGAAUGCCGUCAUCUUAUACUUGGGAGUCAGACUGUGGGUGAUAAGAUUCAUAGUCGAAAGGGCAACAGCCCAGAUCGUCAGCUAAGGUCCCUAAAUGUAAGUUAAGUGGUAAAGGAUGUGGGAUUGCACAGACAACCAGGAUGUUGGCUUAGAAGCAGCCACUCAUUCAAAGAGUGCGUAAUAGCUCACUGGUCGAGUGAUCCUGCGCCGAAGAUUUCCGGGGCUAAAACUUACUACCGAAGCUACGGCAUCAGUAAUGAUGGGUAGGGGAGCUUCCCAUACGGGUUGAAGCAUGACCGUAAGGACAUGUGGACAGUAUGGGAGUGAGAAUGUUGGCAUGAGUAGCGAGAUGUGGGUGAGAAUCCCACAGGCCGUAAACCCAAGGUUUCCAGGGGAAGGUUCGUCCGCCCUGGGUUAGUCGGGACCUAAGCUGAGGCCGAAAGGCGUAGGUGAUGGACAACAGGUUGAUAUUCCUGUACUACCGAUAACCGUUUGAGAGAAGGGAUGACACAGUAGGAUAAGCUAAGCACACUGUUGGUUAUGUGUGCCCAAGCAUUGAGGCAGUCAAAGUAGGCAAAUCCGCUUUGAUAAUGCUGGGAUGUGAUGGGGAGCGAAAUUUAGUAGCGAAGUAGCUGAUUUCACACUGUCAAGAAAAGUCUCUAUCGAGGUUAAAGGUACCCGUACCGCAAACCGACACAGGUGGGUGAGGAGAGUAUCCUAAGGCCAGCGAGAGAACUGUUGUUAAGGAACUCGGCAAAAUGACCCCGUAACUUAGGGAUAAGGGGUGCCACCAUCAGGUGGCCGCAGAGAAUAGGCCCAAGCGACUGUUUACCAAAAACAUAGGUUUCUGCUAAGUCGCAAGACGAUGUAUAGGAGCUGACGCCUGCCCGGUGCUGGAAGGUUAAGGGGAUCUGUUAGAGCAAUCGAAGCAGUGAACUUAAGCCCCAGUAAACGGCGGCCGUAACUAUAACGGUCCUAAGGUAGCGAAAUUCCUUGUCGGGUAAGUUCCGACCCGCACGAAAGGCGUAACGAUUUGGGCACUGUCUCAACAACAGACUCGGUGAAAUUGUAAUUCCGGUGAAGAUGCCGGAUACCUGCGACAGGACGGAAAGACCCCAUGGAGCUUUACUGUAGCUUGACAUUGGGUCUUGGUACUACAUGUACAGGAUAGGUGGGAGGCUUUGAAACCAGGACGCCAGUUUUGGCGGAGCCAUCCUUGGGAUACCACCCUUGUAGUACUGGGACUCUAACCAUAGGCCAUGAAUCUGGUCUUGGGACACUGUCAGGUGGGCAGUUUGACUGGGGCGGUCGCCUCC